UUCCGGUUGAUCCUGCCAGACCUGACUGCUAUCGGAUUGAUACUAAGCCAUGCGAGUCAUUGUAGCAAUACAAGGCAGACGACUCAGUAACGCGUAGUCAACCUAACCUAUGGACGGGAAUAACCUCGGGAAACUGAGAAUAAUGCCCGAUAGAACACUAUAUCUGGAAUGGUUUGUGUUCCAAAUGAUUUAUCGCCGUAGGAUGGGACUGCGGCCUAUCAGUUUGUUGGUGAGGUAAUGGCCCACCAAGACUAUUACAGGUACGGGCUCUGAGAGGAGUAGCCCGGAGAUGGGUACUGAGACACGGACCCAGGCCCUAUGGGGCGCAGCAGGCGAGAAAACUUUGCAAUGUGCGAAAGCACGACAAGGUUAAUCCGAGUGGUUUGUGCUAAACGAACCUUUUGUCGGUCCUAGAAACACCGAUGAAUAAGGGGUGGGCAAGUUCUGGUGUCAGCCGCCGCGGUAAAACCAGCACCUCAAGUGGUCAGGAUGAUUAUUGGGCCUAAAGCAUCCGUAGCCGGCGCUAUAAGUUUUCGGUUAAAUCUGUACGCUCAACGUACAGGCUGCCGGGAAUACUGUAGCGCUAGGGAGUGGGAGAGGUAGACGGUACUCGGUAGGAAGGGGUAAAAUCCUUUGAUCUAUUGAUGACCACCUGUGGCGAAGGCGGUCUACCAGAACACGUCCGACGGUGAGGGAUGAAAGCUGGGGGAGCAAACCGGAUUAGAUACCCGGGUAGUCCCAGCUGUAAACUAUGCAAACUCAGUGAUGCAUUGGCUUGUGGCCAAUGCAGUGCUGCAGGGAAGCCGUUAAGUUUGCCGCCUGGGAAGUACGUACGCAAGUAUGAAACUUAAAGGAAUUGGCGGGGGAGCACCACAAGGGGUGAAGCCUGCGGUUCAAUUGGAGUCAACGCCGG
Molecule: ribosomal RNA, 913 nt
Filed under: uncultured Nitrososphaerota archaeon
Lineage: Archaea; Thermoproteati; Nitrososphaerota
Description: bacterial SSU rRNA
Rfam family: Archaeal small subunit ribosomal RNA
Source: RNAcentral